GGUGGUGCAUGGUUGUCGUCAGCUCGUGUCGUGAGAUGUUGGGUUAAGUCCCGCAACGAGCGCAACCCUUAUGACUAGUUGCCAGCAUUUAGUUGGGCACUCUAGUAAGACUGCCGGUGACAAACCGGAGGAAGGUGGGGAUGACGUCAAAUCAUCAUGCCCCUUAUGACCUGGGCUACACACGUGCUACAAUGGAUGGUACAACGAGUUGCGAGACCGCGAGGUCAAGCUAAUCUCUUAAAGCCAUUCUCAGUUCGGACUGUAGGCUGCAACUCGCCUACACGAAGUCGGAAUCGCUAGUAAUCGCGGAUCAGCACGCCGCGGUGAAUACGUUCCCGGGCCUUGUACAC
Molecule: ribosomal RNA, 350 nt
Filed under: uncultured Lactobacillus sp.
Lineage: Bacteria; Bacillati; Bacillota; Bacilli; Lactobacillales; Lactobacillaceae
Description: bacterial SSU rRNA
Rfam family: Bacterial small subunit ribosomal RNA
Source: RNAcentral